UACGUAGGGUGCAAGCGUUGUCCGGAAUUAUUGGGCGUAAAGAGCUCGUAGGCGGUUCGUCGCGUCGGCUGUGAAAUCCCGAGGCUCAACCUCGGGUCUGCAGUCGAUACGGGCGGACUGGAGUUCGGCAGGGGAGACUGGAAUUCCUGGUGUAGCGGUGAAAUGCGCAGAUAUCAGGAGGAACACCGGUGGCGAAGGCGGCUCACUGGUCCGGUACUGACGCUGAGGUGCGAAAGCGUGGGGAGCAAACAGG
Molecule: ribosomal RNA, 253 nt
Filed under: uncultured bacterium
Lineage: Bacteria
Description: partial 16S ribosomal RNA
Rfam family: Bacterial small subunit ribosomal RNA
Source: RNAcentral